RNAcentral lists this ribosomal RNA (511 nucleotides) under uncultured bacterium. Its description in RNAcentral is "bacterial SSU rRNA". It matches the Rfam family "Bacterial small subunit ribosomal RNA", at positions 34 to 518 of the family's 1533-position model. The record is from RNAcentral.
CGCUGGCGGCGUGCCUAAUACAUGCAAGUCGAACGGUCUUUCUAUGGAAGCUUGCUUCCACUGAGAAGAUAGUGGCGAACGGGUGAGUAACACGUGGGUAACCUGCCCAUAAGAGGGGGAUAACAUCCGGAAACGGGUGCUAAUACCGCAUAGUUUUCUUGAUCGCAUGAUUGAGAAAGGAAAGACGGCCUUUGUGCUGUCGCUUAUGGAUGGACCCGCGGCGUAUUAGUUAGUUGGUGAGGUAACGGCUCACCAAGACGAUGAUACGUAGCCGACCUGAGAGGGUGAUCGGCCACAUUGGGACUGAGACACGGCCCAAACUCCUACGGGAGGCAGCAGUAGGGAAUCUUCCGCAAUGGACGAAAGUCUGACGGAGCAACGCCGCGUGAGUGAAAGAAGGUUUUCGGAUCGUAAAACUCUGUUGUCAGAGAAGAACAAGUUGGAGAGUAACUGCUCCAGCCCUGACGGUAUCUGACCAGAAAGCCACGGCUAACUACGUGCCAGCCGCCGC